UCAACUGCCGGGCUAUAAUCUAUGAAACUGAGCCCAGAUCCAGCCAAUCAGUUUGCUCCUCAUAACAAGUCUAACUGGCUCUGGAAAGCUGAAAGGGCUGCACUGGAGCGGCAUAGAGGAUAUACUCCACACAGCAAUCUGUUUAUCUAGAAUCACUCUGCCUGGAAAAAAUGGAGAAAAUCACAGCUUCAGUAUCUGAGGGGAGGACAGGUGAUCUGGCAGAAACACAUCUGAACCUGAAGCAG
This is an unclassified non-coding RNA of Cavia porcellus (domestic guinea pig), 245 nucleotides long. The record is from Ensembl. NCBI's taxonomy places the organism in Eukaryota, Metazoa, Chordata, Mammalia, Rodentia, Caviidae.